CUGCCCCUGUAAAAGGCCUGCGUUGUGCGGCUCCCUGGCGCUCGGCUCUCCUGCUUCCUCUGCGCAGGGCGCGUUUCCCGCCAGUGGCUGGCCUUAAAUUCGACGGGUCGGGGCCUGCCCGACUGGGCUGGUCUCAAGAGGUGGACAGGCCAUCACUGCUGCCUUAAGCUCUGCUGGAAAGCAGCGAAGUGGGAGUGUCCUGGCCAUCUCAGGUGCAUUGGAGUGACUGACUGGGAUCACCAAAAUGACACUCCAUGCUACCCGAGCAGCCACACUCCUUUCUUGGGUAAACAGUCUACACGUGGCUGACCCAGUGGAGACAGUGUUGCAGCUCCAGGACUGUAGCAUCUUCAUUAAGAUUAUUAACACCAUCCAUAACACUGAAGAGGGGCAACAGAUUCUUCAGCAGCCAGUGCCAGAGCGACUGGAUUUUGUUUGCCGGUUUCUACAAAAAAAUUGGAAACAUCCCUUGUCUACACAAUGCCUGGUGUCUGUGCAGAAAGUGAUGGAGGGGUCUGAGAUGGAAUUGGCCAAGAUGGUAAUGCUGUUUCUAUAUCACUCCACCAUGAGCUCCAGAAAUCCACGGGACUGGGAACAGUUUGAAUAUAAGAUUCAGGCUGAGUUAGCUGUCAUCCUGAAGUUUAUGCUGGAUCAUGAGGAUUCAUUAAACCUUACUGAUGACCUAGAAAAUUUCUUGGAGAAAGUUCCUUACACCUAUUCCAGUGCUGUCUCUGAGGACCUUUCUCCACCUAGCCACCAGGCCAAGAGGAAGAUUCGCUUCCUAGAAAUACAGAAAAUUGCUUCAUCUUCCAGUGAGAACAACUUCCUCUCAGGUUCUCCAUCCUCCCCUAUGGGUGACAUCCUGCAGACCCCACAAUUCCAGAUGAGACGACUGAAGAAACAGCUGGCAGAUGAGAGGAACAACAGGGAUGAGCUGGAGCUGGAGCUAUCUGAGAGCCUCAAGCUCCUUACUGAGAAGGAUGCACAGAUAGCUAUGAUGCAGCAGCGCAUUGACCACCUAGCUCUGCUGAAUGAGAAACAGGCAGCCAGCUCACAAGAAUCCGGGGAGCUUGAGGAGCUCCGUAGUAAGAAUGAGAGCCUCACCAUGCGGCUUCAUGAGACUUUGAAGCAGUGUCAGAACCUGAAGACAGAGAAGAACCAGAUGGAUCGAAAGAUUAGCCAGCUUUCUGAGGAGAAUGGGGACCUUUCAUUUAAGGUGCGAGAGUUUGCCAGCCACUUGCAACAACUGCAGGGUGCAUUCAACGACCUGACAGAGGAGCACAACAAGGCUUCUCAGGAAUGGGCAGAGAAGCAGGCUCAUCUGGAAAAAGAGCUCAGCACAGCCCUCCAGGAUAAGAAAUAUCUCGAAGAGAAGAAUGAAAUCCUUCAGGGAAAGCUUUCCCAGCUAGAGGAACGAGCAGCUCAACUGUUGGAGAGCCCAGCCCAGGAGAAGGGCGAGGUGCUGGGCGACGCCUUGCAGCUGGAAACCCUGAAGCAAGAUGCAGCCAAACUUGCAGCAGACAAUACUCAGCUCCAAGCCCGCAUAGAGACACUGGAGUGUCAACGGGGCCAACAGGAAGCCCAGCUGCUUGCUGAGCGGGGCCACUUUGAAGAAGAAAAGCAGCAGUUGGCCAGCUUGAUUGCUGACCUGCAGAGCUCCAUCUCAAACCUCAGCCAAGCCAAGGAGGAGUUAGAGCAGGCCUCCCAGGUUCAGGGGGCUCAGCUUUCUGCCCAGGUGGCCUCUCUGAAGGCGCUCAAUACCACCCUGCAGCAGCAACAGGAUCAAGAACUUGCCAGUUUGAAAGAACAGGCCAAAAAGGAACAGGCUCAGAUGGUACAGUCCUUGCAAGAACAAGAAGAGGCUGCCCAGGGCCUCCGCCAGCAGGUGGAGCAGCUGAGCAGCAGCCUGAAGCUGAAGGAGCAGCAAUUGGAAGAGGCAGCCAAGGAGCAAGAGGCAGCCAGGCAGGAUCACGCUCAGCAACUGGCCAUUGUUGCUGAGGCUCGAGAGGCCUCUCUAAGGGAACGGGAUACUGCUCGCCAGCAGCUGGAAACAUUGGAGAAGGAGAAGGCUGCGAAGCUAGAGAGUCUGCAGCAGCAACUUGAGGCUGCUAAUGAAGCUAGGGAUAGUGUACAGACCUCAGUCACACAGGUCCAGCGGGAAAAGGCAGAGUUGAGCCAGAAGAUAGGAGAACUCCAUGCCUGUAUUGAAGCUGCCCACCAGGAACUGCGUCAGGCCCAAGCUCAUGUGACAGAGCUAGAGGCCCAGCUAAAGGCUGAGCAGCAAAAAGUAGCUGAGAGAGAAGAAGUGAUCCAGGAGAAGGCCCAGCUCCAGAAGCAGCUCCAGGCCCUUGAGGAGACUUUGAAGAUUACCAAAGAGAGCCUUGAAGAGGAGAAGCGCAGGACUGCAGAUGCCCUGGAAGAGCAGCAGCGCUUUGUCACUGAGAUGAAGGCAGAGUCCCAAAGCCUGAUGGAGCAGCGUGAGCAGGAACAGAAGGCGUUAGAACAAGAGAAGGCUGGGAGAAAGGGGCUGGAGGCCAGGUUACAGCAGCUUGAAGAGACUCAUCAGGCUAAGACUGAAGCAUUGCAGCAUGAGCUGGCAGAGGCUACAGCCUCCCAGCACAGAGCUAAGAGUGAGAGUGAGCAGCUCAUCAGGGAGGUUGAGAGCUGGCAGAAGCGGUUUGAAGCUAGACAGCAGGAGGAGGCAAGAUAUGGUGCCAUGUUCCAGGAACAGCUGAUGGCUUUGAAGGGGGACCGUGAGAAGGCUGGCCAAGAGGCACAGGAGGAGGCAGUAGAGGUCCACAGUGAGGGCCAGAAAGGCCAGCAGCACAGUCAGCUAGCCCAGCUUCAUGCCACCCUAGCCAAAGCCCUCCAGCAGGUUCAGGAAAAAGAAGUCAGGGCCCAGAGGCUGGCAGAUGAUCUCUCAACUCUGCAGGGGAAGAUGGCUUCUGCCAACAAGGUGGCAGCCUGCCUGAAGACCUUGGUGCUAAAGGCAGGUGAGCAGCAGGAAAUGACCUCACUUGAGCUGCACAAAGAGCCCAACUGGCUGGAAGAAGAGCAGCGACAGUCAUUCUCCAGCACACAAGCAGCACUAAAGGCUAUGGAGCGAGAAGCUGAGCAAGUGGGCAGUGAACUGGAGAGGCUAAGGGUAGCACUGUUAGAGAGCCAUGGCCAGCAGCAAGAGGAACGUGGGCAGCAGGAGAGGGAGCUAGCACGGCUGACCCAGGAGCGGAGCCAGGUCCAAGCUGACCUGGCUCAGGAGAAGGCAGCCAAGGCAGAGCUUGAGAUGCGGCUUCAGAACGCCCUCAACGAGCAGCGUGUGGAGUUUGCUGCCCUGCAAGAAGCACUGGCCCAUGCCAUGACGGAAAAGGAAGGCAAAGACCAGGAGCUUGCCAAACUUCGUGGGCAAGAGGCAGCUCAAAGAACAGAGCUGAAGGAGCUUCAGCAGACUUUGGAACAGCUGAAAACACAGUUAGUCGAGAGAGAAAAAGAGCAGCACCUUGUAGGGAAAAGUGGUGGAGAAGACACUUCUGGCCCAGAAGCCCCGUUGGAGACAGUUAGAAAGACAGAGGCGCCAGGCCCUGAACUGGAGGCACUUCGGGCACAGGUCAGCAAGCUGGAGCAGCAGUGCCAGCAGCAGCAGCAACAGGUUACAGACCUGACACACAGCCUGGAGUCUGAGCGUGCUUCCCGGGCUGAGCGGGACAAAGCCCUAGAGACCCUACAGGGCCAGUUAGAGGACAAGGCUCAGGAACUAGGGCACAGUCAAGCUGCCUCAGCUUUAGCUCAGAGAGAAUUGACAGCCCUCCGUGCCAAAGCCCAGGACCAUAGCAAAGCUGAGGAAGAGUGGAAGGCCCAGGUGGCCCGUGGCCAGCAGGAGGCUGAGAGAAAAAGUAGUCUUAUCAGCAGCUUGGAAGAGGAGGUAUCCAUCCUGAACCGCCAAGUCCUAGAGAAGGAAGGGGAGAGCAAGGAGUUGAAGCGCCUGGUUGUAGCUGAAUCAGAGAAAAGCCAGAAGCUGGAAGAGAGGCUGCGUCUGCUUCAGGUAGAAACAGCCAGCACUAAUGCCAGGGCAGCAGAGCGCAGCUCAGCUCUACGAGAGGAGGCACAGAGCCUCCAGGAGGAGGUAGAGAAACAGCGUGUAAUUUCGGAGAACUUGCGGCAAGAGCUGGCCUCACAGGCAGAGCGAGCUGAGGAACUGGGCCAGGAAUUGAAGGCCUGGCAGGAGAAGUUCUUCCAAAAGGAGCAAGCACUCUCUGCUCUGCAGCUGGAGCAUACCAGCACACAGGCCCUGGUAAGCGAGCUGCUGCCUGCCAAGCACCUUUGUCAGCAGCUGCAGGCUGAGCAGGCAGCUGCAGAGAAGCGCCACCGGGAAGAGAUAGAGCAGAGCAAGCAGGCAGCUGGUGGGCUUCGGGCAGAGCUAAUGCGGGCACAGCGGGAGCUUGGGGAGCUAGGGCCUUUGCGGCAGAAGGUGGCUGAGCAGGAGCGAGCAGCCCAGCAGCUGCGGGCAGAGAAGGCCAGCUAUGCAGAACAGCUGAGCAUGCUGAAGAAGGCUCAUGGGCUGUUGGCAGAGGAGAACCGGGGUCUGGGAGAGCGGGCCAACCUUGGCCGGCAGUUUCUGGAAGUAGAGCUAGAUCAAGCCCGGGAGAAGUAUGUCCAGGAGUUGGCAGCUGUGCGUACUGAUGCUGAGACCCAUCUGGCUGAAAUGCGGCAAGAAGCACAGAGUACUACCCGGGAACUGGAGGUUAUGACUGCCAAGUAUGAAGGUGCCAAGGAGAAGGUCCUAGAGGAAAGGCAAAGGUUCCAAGAAGAGAGGCAGAAACUCACCGCCCAGGUGGAGCAACUAGAGGUAUCUCAAAGAGAGCAAACUAAGCAGGUGGAAGAACUGAGUAAGAAGUUGACAGAUUAUGAUCAAGCCAGCAAGGUGCAGCAACAGAAGCUCAAGGCUUUUCAGGCUCAGGGAGGUGAGAGCCAGCAGGAGGUCCAGCGCCUCCAGGCCCAGCUGAAUGAGCUACAGGCCCAGCUAAGCCAGAAGGAGCAGGCAGCUGAGCAUUACAAGCUACAGAUGGAGAAAGCCAAGACCCAUUAUGAUGCCAAGAAGCAGCAGAACCAAGAGCUGCAGGAUCAACUUCGAGACUUGGAGCAGCUGCAGAAGGAGAACAAGGAGCUUCGGGCUGAAGCUGAACGUCUAGGACGUGAGCUGCAGCAGGCAGGGCUAAAGACUAAGGAGGCUGAACAGGCCUGUCGCCACCUUAGUGCCCAGGUGCGGAGCCUGGAGGCACAGGUUGCCCAUGCAGAUCAGCAGCUUCGAGACUUGGGCAAAUUCCAGGUGGCAACUGAUGCCUUAAAGAGCCGUGAGCCUCAGAAACCCCAGCUGGACUUAAGUAUUGACAGCCUGGAUCUGAGCUUGGAGGAGGGAACCCCAUGCAGUGUUGCUAGCAAGCUGCCUUGUACCCAGCCAGAUGGCACCAGUGUCCCUGGAGAGCCAGCUUCACCCAUCUCCCAGCGCCUGCCACACAAAGUAGAAUCCCUGGAAAGUCUCUAUUUCACCCCCAUUCCUGCUCGGGGUCAGGCCCCCUUGGAGAGCAGCCUGGACUCCUUGGGGGAUGUCUUCCCUGACUCUGGCCGUAAGACUCGCUCUGCUCGCCGGCGUACCACACAAAUCAUCAAUAUUACCAUGACCAAGAAAUUAGAUGUGGAAGAACCAGACAGCGCCAACUCAUCCUUCUAUAGCACGCAGUCUGCCCCUGCUUCCCAAGCCAAUUUGAGAGCCACCUCCUCUACCCAGUCUCUGGCCCGCUUGGGCUCUCCAGAUGAUGGCAACUCCGCUCUACUUAGCCUGCCUGGCUACCGGCCUACCACUCGAAGCUCUGCUCGUCGCUCCCAGGCCAGGAUGUCCAGUGGUGCCCCCCAAGGAAGGAACAGCUUCUAUAUGGGUACUUGCCAGGAUGAGCCUGAGCAGCUGGACGAUUGGAACCGCAUUGCUGAGUUGCAGCAGCGCAACCGAGUGUGUCCUCCACACUUGAAGACCUGCUAUCCUCUUGAGUCCAGGCCUUCCCUGAAUCUGGCAACCAUCACUGAUGAGGAGAUGAAAACCGGAGACCCCCAGGAAACUUUACGCCGAGCCAGCAUGCAGCCAACCCAAAUCGCUGAGGGUGCGGGCAUCACUACCAGGCAGCAGCGCAAACGGGUCUCCUCGGAGACCCACCAGGGUCCUGGCACUCCUGAGUCCAAGAAGGCUACCAGCUGCUUUCCACGCCCCAUGACUCCCAGGGACCGGCAUGAAGGACGGAAGCAGAGCAGCACUGCUGUAGCCCAGAAGAAAGCAGCUCCAGUUGUUCUGAAACAGACCUUCCCCUACAGGCGGACCGGCGACAGUCAAUGGCCUUCAGCAUCCUUAACACACCUAAGAAGCUGGGAAAUAGUCUUCUAAGGCGAGGAGUUUCAAAGAAGACCCCAGCAAAGGUCUCACCCAAUACUCACAGUGGUACCCGCCGUUCUCCACGCAUUGCCACCACCACAGCUGCCGCUGCCACUGCUACCCCUCGGGCCAAGGGCAAGGCAAAGCAUUAAAGAGAGUCAACACCAGUGCGUGUGUGUGGCCCUACCUGUGUCCUCAGCACUGACCUUGUCCUUUUCCUUCUACUGUCCUUCUCAGUGCCUUCUCUGAGCUCCCAGGCCAAUGGUGGCCAGCCC
This is an RNA transcript of Phodopus roborovskii (desert hamster), 6690 nucleotides long. It is a transcript of the gene named nuclear mitotic apparatus protein 1, with no coding region annotated. NCBI's taxonomy places the organism in Eukaryota, Metazoa, Chordata, Mammalia, Rodentia, Cricetidae. The transcript is spliced from 26 exons. The record is from RefSeq and is a predicted model, not a curated record.